UCCCCCUUGGAAGUUAGCAGAAAUCCUGGACC
This 32-nucleotide non-coding RNA is filed under the name Rattus norvegicus (Norway rat). The record is from RNAcentral. Lineage: Eukaryota; Metazoa; Chordata; Mammalia; Rodentia; Muridae.